CCCUGGUUCAGGCUUUAUUUAAACUCUUUGUUCAAAAAAAAUGAACAGAGUGAUAGUCGGGUUCUAAUUUACAGAUAUAGUUUAGAUGUCUAAUAUUAAAUUAGAAGAUCACACAAGAAAAACCAUUUACACAUAAAGGUUAAAACCAAUACUUAAACUUUUAAAAACUUUAUAUUACAUAAAGCCAAAAUGAAACUAAAUACAUGUUAGCCAACUUCAUUCACAAACAGUAGUCAAAAUAUAUACACUUAAAAAGAAAAAAGCUACAAAUGAGGUUCUUUUCUCUAAAAUGUGUUUUAUCAUCAUUUGCAAAUGAAUUGCAGGUGAUCUAAAAAAUAAGCUAAUUAGGGAGGGAACUCCAAAACACAUUUAAGCGGUUUGAGUUGGUGGAGAAAUGCUAGCUGAAAGAAGAGACAUCUGUCAAAACAAUUCUGGUUUUUGUUUUGUUUUGCAAACUCAGCCAUAAUGAAAAAAUAGGAACAAUGCCUUUUUCUGUGUAAACUGUGUCAAAAAUUCUAGCAAGUGGACUCAGGGAGACUUGUAGUAGAUUUUUUUUUUUAAGGG
RNAcentral lists this long non-coding RNA (564 nucleotides) under Bos taurus (domestic cattle). Its description in RNAcentral is "long non-coding RNA NONBTAT004732". The record is from RNAcentral. Lineage: Eukaryota; Metazoa; Chordata; Mammalia; Artiodactyla; Bovidae.